Molecule: signal recognition particle RNA, 95 nt
Filed under: Motilibacter deserti
Lineage: Bacteria; Bacillati; Actinomycetota; Actinomycetes; Motilibacterales; Motilibacteraceae
Description: signal recognition particle sRNA small type
Rfam family: Bacterial small signal recognition particle RNA
About the family: The signal recognition particle (SRP) is a universally conserved ribonucleoprotein involved in the co-translational targeting of proteins to membranes. Archaeal SRP consists of a 7S RNA and homologues of the eukaryotic SRP19 and SRP54 proteins.
Source: RNAcentral
CCAGCCCCUCGCGUGGCGCUAUCCCGCUGAACCCCCCCAGGGCCGGAAGGCAGCAAGGGUAGGCAGGCUCUGGCGGGUACGCGGGGGGCCCUGUG